Molecule: long non-coding RNA, 727 nt
Filed under: Rattus norvegicus (Norway rat)
Lineage: Eukaryota; Metazoa; Chordata; Mammalia; Rodentia; Muridae
Description: long non-coding RNA NONRATT012909
Source: RNAcentral
AUGACAUACACGUAUGAAAAUGGCAACGAAACCCAUUGUUUUGUAAAACUCAAAGUAAGCAACAGCAUGGCGUUCUCAGAAGCCCUGAACUAGCCCUUGUGGGAGCACUGACAGAGUACCCUGUACCAGACACAGCACCAACUAGACUGUUGCCCAUUCUUGUCAGGAUUAUGGUGUAUGAGGCAGUGAUCACAGUGAAGAGACACGUUUUCAUGAAGCUUCAGUGUGGAAGAGGCAAAUGCCAAAGAUGUAACGGAGUGUUGAAGCCCAGUGGAGAGCAGGCUGCUUUGAGACAGAUUCAACUUCAGCUAUGAAAACACCAUUGAGAGAAGAGGAAAGGUCCCAGGAGUGAUGAGUGCCAACCUCCUGACCUCAGGCAUUACUCCUUCUUUGGACCCCAUGUCUACCACCCAGAGCCAGAGCUAUUCAAGGAAGGGACACACAGAACCAGCCAUUGCUACCGCAUUACCUACCGGCACAUGGAACGGACACUGUCCCAGAGAGAAGUCAGCAGUGUCCACCAGGCUGUGCAGGAGGCCGCUGUGCAGCUACUGGGUGUGGAAGGCCGUUUUUGAUAUCAUGCAUUACACAGGCUGCAGCCCUCACGGAGCUCCAGGACUCGCCAGAAAGGGGAAACACAUUGUUUGUGAACUGGAGUGUCUGUCCUCGUUUGAUAAAUGGGUCUGCUUUAGGACUUUCAGGAAAUAAAGGAUCACUUUUUAGAAGC